Molecule: long non-coding RNA, 584 nt
Organism: Tupaia belangeri chinensis (Chinese tree shrew)
Lineage: Eukaryota; Metazoa; Chordata; Mammalia; Scandentia; Tupaiidae
Exons: 3
Source: RefSeq, a predicted model, not a curated record
GCCAGCCAUCCCCUCCCCAUGCUGGUGACCGUCAGCAGGGGUGACAUCACUUGUCUGAUCUGGCCUGCACAACUGCAAACAUUCCCAGCCCAUCAGAAGCCAGAGGGAGGGUGACUGGGGCCCUGGACACCUUCAGGAACAGCUCUAUUGUUCCCUGCAAGUAGAGAGUCUGAUGGAAUCGACUGCAGAUCCACCUGAGCUGGGAGAGCAGUUUAACAUGUCUUGAAUAUUAGGAGUCCUGGACAUACCCUUUGGAGCUCUACAAGGAACUAGUGGCUAUGGACAUUGUGCCAGACAGGGAGGAAAUAAAGAAGAUUCCAUCCUACAGAGAUUGUGUCCUCUGGAAGCCUGCAGCCCAGUAAUGGAGGAGAUAAGGAGAGAAACUUGUAACUUACCUGCAUCUUGAAUGAUAAAUUUCUCAGUGUGUGGUGACUGUGGAAUCUCACAUUUUUCCUGGUGUGGCAGAUGCCUUCUGGAUGAUCUUCCAGCUCAUGUUCCCCUCUGAGGGAGAGGAUCUGGCAGCCAUGCUUGAGUUAUGGAUACCAAUCCUCUGUCACUGUUGGAGGUUGGAAAGAGGUAAACCC